RNAcentral lists this ribosomal RNA (485 nucleotides) under uncultured bacterium. RNAcentral's name for it is "partial 16S ribosomal RNA". It matches the Rfam family "Bacterial small subunit ribosomal RNA", at positions 30 to 507 of the family's 1533-position model. The record is from RNAcentral.
UUGAACGCUGGCGGAAUGCUUUACCCCUGCAAGUCGAACGGCAGCACGGGAGCUUGCUCCUGGUGGCGAGUGGCGAACGGGUGAGUAACAUAUCGGAACGUACCCAGUCGUGGGGGAUAACUAUCCGAAAGGAUAGCUAAUACCGCAUACGUCCUGAGGGAGAAAGCGGGGGAUCGCAAGACCUCGCGCGAUUGGAGCGGCCGAUAUCGGAUUAGCUAGUUGGUGGGGUAAAGGCUCACCAAGGCGACGAUCCGUAGCGGGUCUGAGAGGACGACCCGCCACACUGGAACUGAGACACGGUCCAGACUCCUACGGGAGGCAGCAGUGGGGAAUUUUGGACAAUGGGGGCAACCCUGAUCCAGCCAUUCCGCGUGAGUGAAGAAGGCCUUCGGGUUGUAAAGCUCUUUCAGCAGGAACGAAACGGUCGGCUUUAAUAAAGUCGGCUAAUGACGGUACCUGCAGAAGAAGCACCGGCUAACUACGUG